GGUUGUAGUUCAGUGGUACAGCAUGUGUUUAACAUGCAUGAGGUCCUGGCUUCCAGUCCCAGCACCA
RNAcentral lists this transfer RNA (67 nucleotides) under Marmota monax (woodchuck). RNAcentral's name for it is "tRNA.Val". The record is from RNAcentral. Lineage: Eukaryota; Metazoa; Chordata; Mammalia; Rodentia; Sciuridae.